Molecule: ribosomal RNA, 3087 nt
Filed under: Triticum aestivum (bread wheat)
Lineage: Eukaryota; Viridiplantae; Streptophyta; Magnoliopsida; Poales; Poaceae
Description: partial small subunit ribosomal RNA
Source: RNAcentral
AUGGCGGCGAGAGUGGCGGUUCUGGUGGUGGCCGCACUGGCUGUCGUCUUGUCCAGCGGCGGCAAUGUCGGCGCGGCUGGCGGUGAUGGCGAGCGGGGGGCGCUGCUGGCGCUCAAGGCGGGCUUCGUGGACCCAUUGGGUGUGCUUGCUGACUGGAAGGCUGCCGGCUCGCCGCAUUGCAAGUGGACCGGCGUCCGGUGCAACGCCGCCGGCCUCGUCGACGGGCUCGACCUCGCCGGGAGGAACCUGAGCGGCAAGGUCUCGGCCGACCUGCUCCGGCUGCCGGCGCUGGCGGUGCUCAACCUCUCCUCCAACGCCUUCGCCGCCGCGCUGCCUAGGUCGCUCGCGCCGCUGUCGAGCCUCCAGGUGUUCGACGUCAGCCAGAACUCCUUCGAGGGCGCCUUCCCCGCGGGCCUCGGCUCGUGCGCGGGCCUCGUCGCCGUCAACGGCUCCGGCAACAACUUCGUCGGCGCCCUCCCGGCGGACCUCGCCAACGCCACGGCGCUGGAGAGCAUCGACAUGCGCGGCGACUUCUUCAGCGGCGGCAUCCCCGCGGCGUACCGGAGCCUCACCAAGCUCAGGUUCCUCGGCCUCUCCGGCAACAACAUCGGCGGCAAGAUCCCGCCGGAGCUCGGCGAGCUCGAGUCCCUCGAGAGCCUCAUCAUCGGGUACAAUGAGCUGGAGGGGCCCAUCCCGCCGGAGCUCGGCAACCUGGCAAACCUCCAGGACCUCGACCUCGCCAUCGGCAACCUCGACGGCCCGAUCCCGCCGGAGAUCGGGAGGCUCCCGGCGCUCACCUCGCUUUUCCUUUACAAGAACAGUCUCGAGGGCAGGAUACCGCCGGAGCUCGGCAACGCCUCGUCGCUCGUCUUCCUCGACCUCUCCGACAACCUGCUCACCGGCCCGAUCCCCGCCGAGGUGGCGCGGCUGAGCAACCUACAGCUGCUUAACCUCAUGUGCAACCACCUCGACAGCGCCGUGCCCGCGGCCAUCGGCGACAUGAAGAAGCUCGAGGUGCUCGAGCUGUGGAACAACUCCUUGACGGGCACCCUCCCGGCGUCGCUCGGCCGGAGCUCGCCGCUGCAGUGGGUGGACGUCUCGUCGAACGCCUUGACCGGUGAGAUACCCGCCGGGAUCUGCGACGGCAAGGCGCUGGCCAAGCUGAUCAUGUUCAGCAACGGCUUUUCCGGCGAGAUCCCCGCCGGCCUCGCGUCGUGCGCGUCGCUGGUGCGCCUGCGCGCGCAGGGCAACCGUCUCAACGGAACGAUUCCUGCCGGAUUCGGGAAGCUGCCGCUGCUUCAGCGGCUGGAGCUCGCGGGCAACGAGCUCUCCGGCGAGAUCCCCGGCGCCCUGGCGUCCUCGGCGUCGCUGUCGUUCAUCGACGUGUCGCGCAACCGCCUCCAGGGAUCGCUUCCGUCGAGCCUCUUCGCCAUCCCGGGCUUGCAGAGCUUCAUGGCGGCGGGCAACAUGAUCUCCGGCGAGCUCCCCGACCAGUUCCAGGACUGCCUCGCGCUGGGCGCCCUGGACUUGUCGGGAAACCGGCUCCUCGGCAAGAUCCCAUCGAGCCUCGCCUCCUGCGCAAGGCUUGUCAACCUGAACCUCCGGCACAACGGGCUCACCGGCGAGAUACCGCCGGCGCUGGCCAAGAUGCCGGCGCUCGCUAUUCUUGACCUGUCGAGCAACUUCUUGACCGGCGGCAUACCGGAUAACUUCGGGGGCUCCCCGGCGCUCGAGACGCUCAACCUGGCGUACAACAACCUCACUGGUCCCGUGCCGGGGAACGGCGUCCUCCGCACGAUCAACCCCGACGAGCUGGCUGGCAACGCCGGGCUGUGCGGUGGCGUGCUCCCGCCGUGCUCCGGGAGCCACGUCGCCGGUCUGUCCCGCGCGCGCGGGGGCAACGGCGCGCGCCUCAAGCACGUCGCGGUGGGAUGGCUCGUGGGGAUGGUCGUCGUGAUCGCCGCGUUCACGGCCCUGUUCGGCGGCUGGCACGCGUACCGCCGGUGGUACGUCAUUGGCGGCGCCGGGGAGUACGAGUCCGGGGCGUGGCCGUGGCGGCUGACGGCGUUCCAGCGGCUCGGGUUCACGUGCGCCGACGUGCUCGCGUGCGUCAAGGAGGCGAACGUGGUGGGCAUGGGCGCCACCGGGGUCGUGUACAAGGCCGAGCUCCCGCGCGCCCGCACCGUGAUCGCCGUCAAGAAGCUCUGGCGCCCAGCGGCGACGGACGGCGACGCGGUGCGCAACCUCACCGACGACGUGCUCAAGGAAGUGGGCCUCCUCGGCCGGCUCCGGCACCGGAACAUCGUCCGGCUGCUCGGGUACAUGCACAACGACGCGGACGCCAUGAUGCUGUACGAGUUCAUGCCCAACGGCAGCCUGUGGGAGGCGCUGCACGGCGGGGCGCCGGAGUCGAGGACCAUGCUGACGGACUGGGUGUCCCGGUACGACGUGGCCGCCGGCGUGGCGCAGGGGCUCGCGUACCUCCACCACGACUGCCACCCUCCCGUCCUCCACCGCGACAUCAAGUCCAACAACAUCCUGCUCGACGCCGACAUGCAGGCCCGCGUCGCCGACUUCGGGCUCGCCCGCGCGCUCGGCCGCUCCGGCGAGUCCGUCUCCGUCGUCGCCGGCUCCUACGGCUACAUCGCGCCCGAGUACGGGUACACGCUCAAGGUGGACCAGAAGAGCGACAUCUACAGCUACGGGGUGGUGCUCAUGGAGCUCAUCACGGGGCGGAGGCCCGUCGAGACGGCGGCGUUCGGGGAGGGCCAGGACGUCGUCGGCUGGGUCAGGGAGAAGAUCCGGAGCAACACCGUGGAGGAGCACCUCGACCCGCUCGUCGGCGGCGGCUGCGCGCACGUCCGGGAGGAGAUGCUGCUCGUGCUCCGCAUCGCCGUGCUCUGCACCGCCAAGCUGCCCAGGGACAGGCCGUCCAUGCGCGACGUGCUCACCAUGCUCGGGGAGGCCAAGCCGCGGCGCAAGAGCGGGAGCUCCGCUGCCGCCGGCAAUGUCGCCGCCGUCGCCGUGGCCGCGCCCGUCGUUGACAAGGACAAGCCGGUUUUCAGCACCACGCCGGACUCCGUCUGA